UUUCCUCCUGUUCUUUAUCAAAGUCCCCAAAAUAAGCAGGAAUGGGCAGUGACUAGGCAUGGUCUCCAUGGAGUAAUUAGGGCCUGCAGCAGCACACAGGAGCACUCCCUGCCCAGCUGUGUGCGGGAGAGCUGCCUGCCACCACCCAGCAUGGAGCUUCUGGGGACUGCCUGCCUCCUCCUUGCUGCACUCUGUACCUGCGCUCUGGGUCAAGGUGAAAUUUCAAACGUUACUGUCAAUGCAUAUGUUUCUACAUCGAUGCCAAAAACUGAAGAGAAAGCUGUGAACAUGAUCACUUCAAGAGCAAUGACACUGCAAACAACAGAGCUGACAACCACUACAGCCUCAACUAUGACUGUGUCCGUCACAACAAGCUUAGGCAACACAACUAUUCCAGCUAAUGCCACAGAAGGUACAACACAACAUACAAUAGUGCAGCAGCCAGCACAAGUGACCCCUACAGCAAGAAGUGAGAGUGACAACACAACAAGUGCUUCACAAGUGAAUGGAACACAGUCCACACAAAAUGAGAGUUCGAGUGCUACAACUGCUAAGACAAGGACUUUGUCUCCUACAGCCUCUUUACAAGAAAACACUACUGCUCCUGGAACCUCAAAACUUUCUGUGAGCACCCCGGCAAUAAAAAAAGAGGGAAAGGAAAUAUUUGGGAAAGCAGACGAUUUUGGCAGUCCUGGAAACAGUUCCGAAAACACGAAAGCGUUGGAGGAUACUAUCCAUUACUCUAGUGUUAUCCUGCCCAUUGUCAUUGCCCUGAUUGUCAUUACCCUCUCCGCCUUCUCGCUGGUGGCCUUGUACAGAGUGUGCCACAAGAAAACUCCAGAUAGACAAGAGAACGGUACUGAACAGGCACAGUCAGAUAAAGAAGGUGUUAAACUUCUGUCUGUGAAGACAACUUCUGCUGAGACUGGAUCCAAGUGCAUCCAUUCAGCAGUAUCUCUAUGUUACUGAAGCUUCCCCUGCAACCCCAUCUCCCUUGCCAGAUAAGCAGAGCAGGUCAGCAGAGAGCAGCCUGCCAAUAUGCUGUAUGCUUGUGAGUGGUAGAAAACCUAGAAGCUGCUUCAUAGAAGACUGUACUCCACCAUCAAAGAGUUAGAGCAAGAGAGAAUCAGGGGAAGAAUAAAACUCGACAGUGUGAUGAUUCCUCUUCAAACUUCAGCAGUAAAUACAUGUGAAGCAUCCUGGUUUAACACAACGUGCAGGAACAUCCCACCAAGGUUGCAAUGCCACGGGAACUGUGGAGCAGCUGAAGCUUUUUGCCAGGCAGGACACUUGUGCUAAUGACCAGCCCUUGACUCCUAAGCCUUAAGUGCUUCCUGUGCCUUCUGGAAUGAUGUGCUUUUUUGAUGGCUUAAUAACUGGUAUAUCAUAUGUAUUUAUUAUGUUCUCAUAUAGUAGAAGCAGGAAAACUCUCAAGAAGGUUGAAGAACGUGUUUGCGUAGUCAUUAUUACAAGAAUUUUCUGCACAUACAGGAAGGAAUGUGUUAGCAUACUUUGUUAAACUUACGGUAUUUAGGGUUCUUUUAAUUGUAUGUAGCAAAAUACAAACAUGGCCUGAUCCUUGAAACAGUACUGGGCCAACUGCCACUAUGAAAGUUAAUUCAGUGAUUUCCUGGAGACUCCUUACUGUAGCAUAUGCUUUACUUGUCAUAAAUGUUUACAGGAUGGGAUGCCUGGGUGAAAUGCUGAAGCGUGUGCUUUAUUUCUGUGAAUUGGGGGAAUAUGCCUUGCACUGAGGUUGGUGGUUUUGUUUUGUUUUUUGAAGUUCUAUAAAUUGCUGAAUAUGGUCUUUGUAAUGUGGCAGGCAACACAGUUAAUUUUCUCCUGUUUCUUGGCUAACCACUGCAUUGUGCAUGCUGUGAAUGACUCGUCUGCAAGCUGAGGUGCAUGGUGGGGAUCAGCAGGAAAAGCAAUUCUGCAGCUGAACCCUAUAUUUGGAGUACUACACGGGAUUCCUGUUGGCUACCGAAUAACUCUGGAAGUUUAAGGAGUGUUUCAAGUGAUGAUUACAGAUGCUUAAUUUGUACAGAGCUGAUGCUGCAAAAAUAUCAAGUAGUGCUUCUACCUACAUGUAUCCUACUCUGCUAGAACUGUAAAUGCUAGAAAAUUUUAUUAAUGUGAGCAUCUGCUCAUCCUCAGUCCGGCAGUGUGCUGAGAAGCUCCAUCGUUGUAAGGGGGAAAGGAAAGGAGACAAUUGGUGUAAGUGUGGGGCUGAGAGCCAGGCCAGCAAUUUGAGUUGUGAUACCAUUGAUACAAUGCUCAUGAGGAAACUUCUCUCUCCAAUUUCCCUCUGUGGGGUAAGAAAACUUAACUAGCAGUAUGGCAAGAGAUUGAAUGGAUUUUUUAGUUCAUAUUUAUACACAAAGAUAAAGCAUUCAUUUCCCUACUUUUGACCAUUGCUCUUAUUUCAUCUGUGAUGGAUCUAAUCCUGUGUCUUAGUAGCGCCAAGAGAAAUUCUGAUGAAGUUUUGUAAAAGUUGAGGAAUGAACAAGGGCGCUCCAUGCUGCAGCUGAACAUCUAUGGUCUGUUCGGGUGCCCCUGGAUCACUUGGGUUGCUCCAGAGCAGAGCUGUGUACCUGCUUUAGGAAGGUCAGGUUGCCUAAAAUACACCAGAUAUCAUCUGCACCUACUCAGAUUCCUGAUUGCUGAAGUUUCCAAUGAAAAAAGAAGGCAAUCAUUGUGCAUUUUCAUGUUGAUUUUAGAAAAAUAUUUUUGUAGCAUGUUGCAUACUACUGAGAGGACAGUAGAAAA
RNA transcript from Numida meleagris (helmeted guineafowl), 2769 nucleotides. It is a transcript of the gene named endomucin, with no coding region annotated. The record is from RefSeq and is a predicted model, not a curated record. The transcript is spliced from 14 exons. Lineage: Eukaryota; Metazoa; Chordata; Aves; Galliformes; Numididae.